This 70-nucleotide transfer RNA is filed under the name Marmota monax (woodchuck). RNAcentral describes it as "tRNA.Ala". The record is from RNAcentral. Lineage: Eukaryota; Metazoa; Chordata; Mammalia; Rodentia; Sciuridae.
GGGGUUGUGGCUCAGUGGUAGAGUCUCGUCUCGCACGUGCAGGACCCUGGGUUCAAUCCUCAGCACCACG